RNAcentral lists this ribosomal RNA (433 nucleotides) under uncultured bacterium. RNAcentral describes it as "partial 16S ribosomal RNA". It matches the Rfam family "Bacterial small subunit ribosomal RNA", at positions 29 to 507 of the family's 1533-position model. The record is from RNAcentral.
AACGAACGCUGGCGGCAUGCCUAACACAUGCAAGUCGAACGAGACCUUCGGGUCUAGUGGCGCACGGGUGCGUAACGCGUGGGAACCUGCCCUUAGGUUCGGAAUAACUCCCCGAAAGGGGUGCUAAUACCGGAUAAUGUCUUCGGACCAAAGAUUUAUCGCCUUUGGAUGGGCCCGCGUUGGAUUAGCUAGUUGGUAGGGUAAAAGCCUACCACGGCGACGAUCCAUAGCUGGUCUGAGAGGAUGGUCAGCCACACUGGGACUGAGACACGGCCCAGACUCCUACGGGAGGCAGCAGUGGGGAAUAUUGGACAAUGGGCGAAAGCCUGAUCCAGCAAUGCCGCGUGAGUGAUGAAGGCCUUAGGGUUGUAAAGCUCUUUUACCCGGGAUGAUAAUGACAUUACCGGGAGAAUAAGCUCCGGCUAACUCCGUG